RNAcentral lists this ribosomal RNA (468 nucleotides) under uncultured bacterium. Its description in RNAcentral is "partial 16S ribosomal RNA". It matches the Rfam family "Bacterial small subunit ribosomal RNA", at positions 28 to 507 of the family's 1533-position model. The record is from RNAcentral.
GACGAACGCUGGCGGCGUGCUUAACACAUGCAAGUCGAGCGGAAAGGCCCUGCUUUUGUGGGGUGCUCGAGUGGCGAACGGGUGAGUAACACGUGAGUAACCUGCCCUUGACUUUGGGAUAACUUCAGGAAACUGGGGCUAAUACCGGAUAGGAGCUCCUGCUGCAUGGUGGGGGUUGGAAAGUUUCGGCGGUUGGGGAUGGACUCGCGGCUUAUCAGCUUGUUGGUGGGGUAGUGGCUUACCAAGGCUUUGACGGGUAGCCGGCCUGAGAGGGUGACCGGCCACAUUGGGACUGAGAUACGGCCCAGACUCCUACGGGAGGCAGCAGUGGGGAAUAUUGCACAAUGGGCGGAAGCCUGAUGCAGCAACGCCGCGUGCGGGAUGACGGCCUUCGGGUUGUAAACCGCUUUCGCCUGUGACGAAGCGUGAGUGACGGUAAUGGGUAAAGAAUCACCGGCUAACUACGUG